GAUGAACGCUGGCGGCGUGCCUAAUACAUGCAAGUCGAGCGAACAGACGAGGAGCUUGCUCCUCUGACGUUAGCGGCGGACGGGUGAGUAACACGUGGAUAACCUACCUAUAAGACUGGGAUAACUUCGGGAAACCGGAGCUAAUACCGGAUAAUAUAUUGAACCGCAUGGUUCAAUAGUGAAAGACGGUUUUGCUGUCACUUAUAGAUGGAUCCGCGCCGCAUUAGCUAGUUGGUAAGGUAACGGCUUACCAAGGCAACGAUGCGUAGCCGACCUGAGAGGGUGAUCGGCCACACUGGAACUGAGACACGGUCCAGACUCCUACGGGAGGCAGCAGUAGGGAAUCUUCCGCAGUGGGCGAAAGCCUGACGGAGCAACGCCGCGUGAGUGAUGAAGGUCUUCGGAUCGUAAACCUCUGUUAUUAGGGAAGAACAAAUGUGUAAGUAACUAUGCACGUCUUGACGGUACCUAAUCAGAAAGCCACGGCUAACUACGU
RNAcentral lists this ribosomal RNA (496 nucleotides) under uncultured bacterium. Its description in RNAcentral is "partial 16S ribosomal RNA". It matches the Rfam family "Bacterial small subunit ribosomal RNA", at positions 28 to 506 of the family's 1533-position model. The record is from RNAcentral.